RNAcentral lists this long non-coding RNA (2136 nucleotides) under Homo sapiens (human). Its description in RNAcentral is "non-protein coding lnc-PGS1-2:12". The record is from RNAcentral. Lineage: Eukaryota; Metazoa; Chordata; Mammalia; Primates; Hominidae.
GAGGAAUUCGCAGCCGGCGGCGCGGCCGGGCGCGUUCCCUUCCCCUCUCUCCGUUGCCCGGCGAGGGAGCCACAGCGCAGCGGUUGCCAUGGCCACGGGCCGGGCGUGGGGCUGGGGGACCAGGGGCCGCUGAGCCUCGAUCACCUUGUCCUGCUCGAGCCAGGCUCUGCAAGUCCGACCUGGGUGCCCCAGAGAGCUGCUCCGGGAAAGACGUUUACCUGCUGCCCAGAGCUGGGACUGCAGACCCUGAUUGGCGAGGGCUUGGAGAGUAGCUGAGAACCUUCCCUUCAGCUACUGAAGACCAGACAGGGCUUUCUGUAUCACGCUGCCUGACGAUGAUGAGGGUGCAGUGACUAAGAGUGCAGAUGAAAGGCCCAGCUCUCCAACCAGGUGGAUGGAUUUGCAAGGAGCUUCUAUCUGGGCGUGGUGGCUCAUGCCUGUAAUCCCAGCACUUUGGGAGGCUGGUCUUGAACUCCUGACCUCAGGUGAUCCCCCCCACCUUGGCCUCCCAAAGUGCUGGGAUUACAGAGGUGGCUCUUUUAAUUGACUCCUCUCCAGGCAUCUCUCCUUCCAGCCACAGAGCCUGGCCUGAUGGUCCCAGGGCCCCAGGGCCCCAGGUGAAGGCCUCUCUCCUCCCCCACUCAGGUCUGACCAGCUCUGUUUCCAUCCUGGUGUGGGCACAAGGUCUCUUGCUGCAGCUGGGCCAGUUUGCUGACCUUCUCAGCUCCUUCUCUUAGACUGGAGAGGCCUGGAAGGGUGCCCGAGGGAGGGUCUGGGCUGCUCUCCUGGGCUCCUCCCCUCCACUCCAGGACUCUGGCUGGAGCCUGGUCAGGGUCCUUACUGAGUUCUCAGCCAAGCGCCAGCCCUGUGAUGGCCUGAGGGGUCUGGUGGGGAAGCCCCAAAGUGAGGGCUCCAUAGCCCUCACUGUCCCUCCCCCAGCAUUGUGCAGUGCCGGCGGUCUCUGAGUUCUUCUGGGUAGCCUUUCUACCACAUCCUCUUGCCUACUUUCACCAGGUGGCCAAGGGACACUAAAAAAGGCAGUGAAUAGCUAGAGGACCACUCUUGAAAAUCAGCCUGCCUUCCUCCUGGUGCCAGCUCCUGUCCCUCCGGCCUCCUUUUCAUAGAAUUCUACAACAGGAGGAAACAGAGAGGUCAUCUCCUCCACCUUCACCAAGUUUCCAGAACGGAUGGGUUAGAGGGAUCUGGCGUUCUCUGAGGCUUCGGGCCAAACCUUGGACAUUGGGCUGGCCAGAGAUCUUGCUGGGGUUGCCUUGGGAAUUGUAUAUCCAUUGGGAGCACUAGCCCUGAACACCUGGGGCUCCCCACCUGCUAGGAGCUGGGAGGACUCUGGUGUUCCCUGCAACCCCCCAGGGUCUGGGUGGACGGAAUGGCAGCCCAGGACUGUUCCCCAGGCUGACCUGGACUCUGAUGAGAGCCAAGAGUGGACCUAGCUGUCAUUUAGAUCCCUGGGGGAGCCUUCACAGUAGCUGCCAAGCAGAGGUCCUGGCACUGGGGAGGGUUCUCACACGUAGGAGGGGCAGUACUUAAGCAAGUAACAGUGGAGAGGGCACUGGAUUUGACAUCAGCUGAGAGGUGGUCCGUUUCUGCUUCUCUCACUGCUUAUCUGUGAUCUGAGGCAAGCCUAAACUCCUCUACAGCUUAGUUUACUCAUCUGGAAAGUGUGGUAUAUUUUAUUUUACCUGCCUUACAUCUGAGGCAUGGAGGAAGGACGGAAUGAGAUCACCUAUUAAAAUGCAUUUUGAAAAAACAAAAGUGCUAUUUAUGCAAACACAUGGUACUAAAAAUAAAAGAUGCCUGUUUGCUUCUGGAAGUAAAAGUUGUGAAUGAUGCCGGGCGCUGUGGCUCACACCUGUAAUCCCAGCACUUUGGGAGGUCAAGGCGGGUGGAUCACAAGGUCGAGAGAUCGAGACCAACCUGGCCGACAUGGGGAAACCCCAUCUCUACUAAAAAUACCAAAAAAAUUAGCUGAGCACGGUGGCACACGCCUGUAGUCCCAGCUACUCAGGAGGCUGAGGCAGGAGAAUCACUUGAACCCGGGAGGCGGAGGUUGCAGUGAGCCGAGAUUGCGCCAUUGCACUCCUGCACUCCAGCCUGGUGACAGAGCGAGACCAUCCG